RNAcentral lists this ribosomal RNA (623 nucleotides) under Cladosporium cladosporioides. RNAcentral's name for it is "eukaryotic LSU rRNA". It matches the Rfam family "Eukaryotic large subunit ribosomal RNA", at positions 23 to 667 of the family's 3401-position model. Lineage: Eukaryota; Fungi; Ascomycota; Dothideomycetes; Cladosporiales; Cladosporiaceae. The record is from RNAcentral.
ACCCGCUGAACUUAAGCAUAUCAAUAAGCGGAGGAAAAGAAACCAUCAGGGAUUGCUCUAGUAACGGCGAGUGAAGCAGCAAUAGCUCAAAUUUGAAAUCUGGCGUCUUCGACGUCCGAGUUGUAAUUUGUAGAGGAUGCUUCUGAGUAACCACCGACCUAAGUUCCUUGGAACAGGACGUCAUAGAGGGUGAGAAUCCCGUAUGCGGUCGGAAAGGUGCUCUAUACGUAGCUCCUUCGACGAGUCGAGUUGUUUGGGAAUGCAGCUCUAAAUGGGAGGUAAAUUUCUUCUAAAGCUAAAUAUUGGCCAGAGACCGAUAGCGCACAAGUAGAGUGAUCGAAAGAUGAAAAGCACUUUGGAAAGAGAGUUAAAAAGCACGUGAAAUUGUUAAAGGGGAAGGGAUUGCAACCAGACUUGCUCGCGGUGUUCCGCCGGUCUUCUGACCGGUCUACUCGCCGCGUUGCAGGCCAGCAUCGUCUGGUGCCGCUGGAUAAGACUUGAGGAAUGUAGCUCCCUCGGGAGUGUUAUAGCCUCUUGUGAUGCAGCGAGCGCCGGGCGAGGUCCGCGCUUCGGCUAGGAUGCUGGCGUAAUGGUCGUAAUCCGCCCGUCUUGAAACACGGACC